Molecule: ribosomal RNA, 497 nt
Filed under: uncultured bacterium
Lineage: Bacteria
Description: partial 16S ribosomal RNA
Rfam family: Bacterial small subunit ribosomal RNA
Source: RNAcentral
GAUGAACGCUGGCGGCGUGCCUAAUACAUGCAAGUCGAGCGAACGGACGAGAAGCUUGCUUCUCUAAUGUUAGCGGCGGACGGGUGAGUAACACGUGGAUAACCUACCUAUAAGACUGGGAUAACUUCGGGAAACCGUAGCUAAUACCGGAUAAUAUUUUGAACCGCAUGGUUCAAAAGUGAAAGACGGUCUUGCUGUCACUUAUAGAUGGAUCCGCGCUGCAUUAGCUAGUUGGUAAGGUAACGGCUUACCAAGGCAACGAUGCAUAGCCGACCUGAGAGGGUGAUCGGCCACACUGGAACUGAGACACGGUCCAGACUCCUACGGGAGGCAGCAGUAGGGAAUCUUCCGCAAUGGGCGAAAGCCUGACGGAGCAACGCCGCGUGAGUGAUGAAGGCCUUCGGAUCGUAAAACUCUGUUAUUAGGGAAGAACAUAUGUGUAAGUAACUGUGCACAUCUUGACGGUACCUAAUCAGAAAGCCACGGCUAACUACGUG